This is a non-coding RNA of Picea glauca (white spruce), 119 nucleotides long. NCBI's taxonomy places the organism in Eukaryota, Viridiplantae, Streptophyta, Pinopsida, Pinales, Pinaceae. The record is from Rfam.
GGGUGCGAUCAUACCUGUGCUAAUGCGCCGGAUCCCAUCAGAACACCGCAGUUAAGCACGCUUGGAGCAGAGUAGUACUUGGAUGGGUGACCUCUCGGGAAGUCCUAGUGAUGCACCCU